RNAcentral lists this ribosomal RNA (119 nucleotides) under Pteropus alecto (black flying fox). Lineage: Eukaryota; Metazoa; Chordata; Mammalia; Chiroptera; Pteropodidae. The record is from RNAcentral.
UACUAUGGCCAUGCCACCCUGAACAAACCUGAUCCUGCCUGAUCUCAGAAGCUAAGCAGGGUGGGGCCUAGUUAGUACCUGGAUGGGAGACCACCUAGGUAGAACAGGUACUGUAGGCG